Molecule: ribosomal RNA, 301 nt
Filed under: uncultured bacterium
Lineage: Bacteria
Description: bacterial SSU rRNA
Rfam family: Bacterial small subunit ribosomal RNA
Source: RNAcentral
AUUGAACGCUGGCGGCAUGCCUUACACAUGCAAGGUCGAACGGCAGCACGGGAGCAAUCCUGGUGGCGAGUGGCGAACGGGUGAGUAAGUAUAUCGGAACGUGCCCAGUUGUGGGGAUAACGUAGCGAAAGCUACGCUAAUACCGCAUACGAUCUAUGGAUGAAAGCGGGGGAUCGCAAGACCUCGCGCGAUUGGAGCGGCCGAUAUCAGAUUAGGUAGUUGGUGAGGUAAAGGCUCACCAAGCCGACGAUCUGUAGCUGGUCUGAGAGGACGGACCAGCCACACUGGGACUGAGACACGG